UGAUGACGAGACGCUAAGGCGUUGAAGCAGUGUAUGUCAGACUUCCAAGAAAAGCUCGCAAUGUCACAAAUAAAAGAUGCCUGUACCAUAACCGACACAGGUGGGUAGGUAGAGUAUACUAAGGGGCGCGAGAUAACUCUCUCUAAGGAACUCGGCAAAAUGACUCCGUAACUUCGGGAGAAGGAGUGCCUUAUUUAUAAGGUUGCAAUAACAAGAUCCAAGCAACUGUUUAUCAAAAACACAGGUCUCCGCUAAGUCGUAAGACGAUGUAUGGGGGCUGACGCCUGCCCAGUGCCAGAAGGUUAAAGAAGUUGGUUAGUGUAUGCGAAGCUGAUGACUGAAGCCCUGGUGAACGGCGGCCGUAACAAUAACGGUCCUAAGGUAGCGAAAUUCCUUGUCGGGUAAGUUCCGACCCGCACGAAAGGCGUAAUGAUUUGGAUACUGUCUCGGAGAGAGGCUCGGUGAAAUAGACUUGUCUGUGAAGAUGCGGACUACCUGCACCAGGACAGAAAGACCCUAUGAAGCUUUACUGUAACUUGAAAUUGGAAUUGGACUUUGCUUGCGCAGUAUAGGUGGGAAGCGUUGAAAAUAUUCUUGCGGGAGUAUUGGAGCUAUCAGUGAGAUACCACUCUUGUAAUGUUAGAUUUCUAACUUUGAACCAUAAUCUGGUCAAAGAACAGUUUCAGGUGGGCAGUUUGACUGGGGCGGUCGCCUCCCAAAUGGUAACGGAGGCGUACAAAGGUUUCCUCUGAACGGAUAGAAAUCGUAUCUAGAGUGUAAAGGCAUAAGGAAGCUUGACUGUGAGACCUACAAGUCGAGCAGGGACGAAAGUCGGUCUUAGUGAUCUGACGGUACUGAGUGGAAAGGCCGUCACUCAACGGAUAAAAGUUACUCUAGGGAUAACAGGCUGAUCUCCCCCAAGAGUUCACAUCGACGGGGAGGUUUGGCACCUCGAUGUCGGCUCAUCGCAUCCUGGGGCGGUAGUACGUCCCAAGGGUUGGGCUGUUCGCCCAUGAAAGCGGUACGCGAGCUGGGUUCAGAACGUCGUGAGACAGUUCGGUCCAUAUCCGGUGUAGGCGCUAGAAUAUUGAGAGGAGCCUUCUUUAGUACGAGAGGACCGAGAAGGACACACCGCUGGUGUACCAGUUAUCGUGCCAACGGUAAACGCUGGGUAGCUAUGUGUGGAGUGGAUAACCGCUGAAAGCAUCUAAGUGGGAAGCCCACCUCGAGAUGAGUAUUCAC
Molecule: ribosomal RNA, 1242 nt
Filed under: metagenome
Description: bacterial LSU rRNA
Rfam family: Bacterial large subunit ribosomal RNA
Source: RNAcentral